AACGAAACCGCGGAUUGCAUUUUUGCUCAUGAAAAAGUUGCUUUAAAUUACCUCAGGAAUCUCCACGUUCGUCAUCGCAACGGAACAAUGAAAACGAUGCUCGUGCUUACAGACUAGUGCGGGCGUGUGCGCAAAAAACAGAAGAAAGUGUUCGAAAUUGAUAUAUUAACGAUAUCUCUAGUUCAUUAGAUAGUUGUUUCUCGGAACGAUGACUUUAAGCUGGAACAGCUGGGACGCUGGAAAAAAAAGAAGAAUCGCGAGCUCGAUUGUUUCGCGUCUCAUUGCCAGCCGAAUACUUCGACGACACGACAGACCGUAUAUAUGUACACGUACGCAGGGACGAUUGCUUCCUAAUCACUAAGGUUUCGUCAUAAAAAAGUGCCUCUAAGCUUAACAAUUCGUAUCGCAUCUGGCUACUGUCGUACUAUGGCUACCCGACACGACGACACAACGACACCGACCAUACGACGACACACAACACACGACAUAACGUUCCGCGACACGCUACUCGACUACCGUUAACAAAGUUUUGAUUCGUUCUUACUCGCGCGCGCGCACACAUCGUUGUGACGCGUUCCGAAUGAAAUUGCACGCUAAUGUAAAUACACCAGAGUCGUCUGUGCGUCGUCUAUCCGUCCGUUCGUCGGGAUCUCGUCUAAUCGGCGAGAUCGAGAGUCUCCGUGUGUGUGUGUGUGUCUAUUCUACGCGCUCAAUCGAUCGUAACAAUGGAAUCGAACACGAAUCCGACAAUGAAAUGGAUUCGAUGUGGAAGUUACGUUUCACAUAGGGCUGGCUCUAGUCUCCGAUUGAAAUUACGAUCUACGAGAACCUCUAACGUUCGAUCAAUUGACUAGGUUCCUUCUCAGAUUUACAACUACGCACAUUUUCGCUUCUAACAACAAGUAUACUAACAAGUAUACUCCUUAUGCUACGCUCGGUCCGGAAAAUCGUCGCGAUCGUUUCUCGCGAUCGUCUUUCCCUCGUUAGCGUCGCGUCCCGCCGUUCCUCUUUCACGCGAAUUUUACAAAAGAGAUCUUCACGAAAGAUCUCGGCGAACGAGGGAACACUUCCGGUCCGAGCAGGAUCUUUUUCUAGCCUACACGCGACCCAUUGGCUCGCGUAUUUGAUUUCUAAUAUUUUUCUAAACAUGUCGGAGGAUUAGAGAGGGCCGCUAAAAGACCUCGAAUUGCGCGGCGGCUGCACAGAACAUUCGAACACGAACGACCGACCAACAAGCACGCACGAUAUGUAUUCUAAAUUACCGAUUACUGGACUGUGUGGAUCUUGAUGCGCCUACAAAAUCAAAAUGGACCUUUUCUCGCGUGUUUCGUCUCUACGUGCCCACCGCACGCCAGAAGUAACGUUAAACAACGGAACAACAAAUUCUUGGAAGCUUCUUCGACUUAACUCUGGCAACGCUCUCUCUCUCUCUUCUCUCUCUCUCUCUCUCUCUCUCUCUCUUGCCCUCUAUCGCUUCUUCGUUCAACGAACGAUCUUCCAAAUUUGUGAACACUAUGCAAGCUUUUUAGUUUUACCGCCAGAUCUUGGCAGAGGGUCCUCUUGUUUCACUUUUUUUCCAUAGAAAACAUAUAAAAAUUGUGUAACGCUCGAUCGAUUACGCAACGCGGAGCCACCGGAAAUAUCGACGCCUAUGAUUUUCGCUUCCGGUUCUGUCACCGACCACAAUUCGGUUCCGUCGGGGGAAAUGUACAACAUUGAAAACUGAAUCUUUCUCCGGUUUCAAUUAACCAGCGGCGACCGAUUCAGCCGUCUCGGCUCCCAGGACGACGACUCGAGACUGCAGAUAUUUAUGGAACAACGAUCAACGGUUCAACCUUUUCUUUUUUUCUCUCCUGAAUCCGUGGUUCGUGAAGAGAUCGGAGAAACCAUUUGAGAACGCUACGGAAAAUCAUCGGCUAACGUGUUUCCGGUCGACGGAUUCGAUCGUAUCGCGGCCAGCGAUGGGAACGAUACUCGUCCGACAUCAUGGAAUGUCGUGUGGCAUAUAUGGUGUUGUGUCCAAUCAAUGACCAAUCAAUUGAAUCUCGAAUUUCAGUUCUCGUUAUUGCGGCACCCUGUAUAAUACGCUCUCGUCGUUCGAGUACAGUUUAAAUAGAGCUUUCUGUAUAUAAUCGUUAUUAGAAUAAUUAAAGCACUUCGUUUUGGGAAAUACA
Megalopta genalis is the source of this 2174-nucleotide non-coding RNA. NCBI's taxonomy places the organism in Eukaryota, Metazoa, Arthropoda, Insecta, Hymenoptera, Halictidae. The record is from RefSeq and is a predicted model, not a curated record.